GAUGAACGCUGGCGGCGUGCCUAAUACAUGCAAGUCGAGCGAACAGACGAGGAGCUUGCUCCUCUGACGUUAGCGGCGGACGGGUGAGUAACACGUGGAUAACCUACCUAUCAGACUGGGAUAACUUCGGGAAACCGGAGCUAAUACCGGAUAAUAUAUUGAACCGCAUGGUUCAAUAGUGAAAGACGGUUUUGCUGUCACUUAUAGAUGGAUCCGCGCCGCAUUAGCUAGUUGGUAAGGUAACGGCUUACCAAGGCAACGAUGCGUAGCCGACCUGAGAGGGUGAUCGGCCACACUGGAACUGAGACACGGUCCAGACUCCUACGGGAGGCAGCAGUAGGGAAUCGUCCGCAAUGGGCGAAAGCCUGACGGAGCAACGCCGCGUGAGUGAUGAAGGUCUUCGGAUCGUAAAACUCUGUUAUUAGGGAAGAACAAAUGUGUAAGUAACUAUGCACGUCUUGACGGUACCUAAUCAGAAAGCCACGGCCAACUACGUG
Molecule: ribosomal RNA, 497 nt
Filed under: uncultured bacterium
Lineage: Bacteria
Description: partial 16S ribosomal RNA
Rfam family: Bacterial small subunit ribosomal RNA
Source: RNAcentral